UACGAAGGGGGCUAGCGUUGUUCGGAAUUACUGGGCGUAAAGGGCGUGUAGGCGGUCUAUUAAGUCAGGUGUGAAAGGCCUGGGCUCAACCCAGGAAAUGCGCCUGAGACUGGUAGACUUGAGUCCGGGAGAGGAUGGUGGAACUCCCAGUGUAGAGGUGAAAUUCGUAGAUAUUGGGAAGAACACCCGUGGCGAAGGCGGCCAUCUGGACCGGUACUGACGCUAAGGCGCGACAGCGUGGGGAGCAAAC
Molecule: ribosomal RNA, 250 nt
Filed under: uncultured bacterium
Lineage: Bacteria
Description: partial 16S ribosomal RNA
Rfam family: Bacterial small subunit ribosomal RNA
Source: RNAcentral